This 772-nucleotide ribosomal RNA is filed under the name uncultured archaeon. RNAcentral describes it as "bacterial SSU rRNA". It matches the Rfam family "Archaeal small subunit ribosomal RNA", at positions 102 to 859 of the family's 1478-position model. The record is from RNAcentral.
AGUCAACCUGCCCUUGGGUCGAGGAUAAUCUCGGGAAACUGAGGCUAAUACUCGAUAGGUCAAGAUUCCUGGAAUGGGUUUUGGUCAAAAUGAGGUAACAGCAUCUUUGUUAUUUUCGCCCAAGGAUGGGACUGCGGCCGAUCAGGCUGUUGGUGGGGUAAAGGCCCACCAAACCAGUAACCGGUACGGGCUUGAGAGAAGGAGCCCGGAGAUGGACACUGAGACAAGGGUCCAGGUCCUACGGGGCGCAGCAGGCGCGAAACCUUCGCAAUGCGCGCAAGCGCGACGAGGUUAUUCCGAGUGAUUCCCGCUGAGGGAAUCUUUUCUCAGAUCUAAAACGUCUGGGGAAUAAGGGGAGGGCAAGUCUGGUGUCAGCCGCCGCGGUAAUACCAGCUCCUCGAGUGGUCAGGGCGUUUAUUGGGCCUAAAGCAUCCGUAGCCUGCUCGGUAGGUCUCCUGUUAGAUCCAACGGCUCAACCGUUGGUCUGCAGGAGAUACCGCCGGGCUAGGAGGCGGGAGAGGCGGACGGUACUCCGAGGGUAGGGGUAAAAUCCUUUGAUCCCCGGAAGACCACCAGUGGCGAAGGCGGUCCGCCAGAACGCGCUCGACGGUGAGGGAUGAAAGCUGGGGGAGCGAACCGGAUUAGAUACUCGGGUAGUCCCAGCUGUAAACGAUGCGAGCUAGGUGACACGACGCCUUCGGGGCAUCGUGGUGCCGCAGGGAAGCCGUUAAGCUCGCCGCCUGGGGAGUACGGACGCAAGUCUGAAACUUAA